This 849-nucleotide long non-coding RNA is filed under the name Marmota monax (woodchuck). Lineage: Eukaryota; Metazoa; Chordata; Mammalia; Rodentia; Sciuridae. The record is from RNAcentral.
CCUUGGGUGGAAGCGAUAGCUUUCAAUUAUUGAGCGCAUCCGUUGUCAGGCUGUGCGCUACGGUCCUGCAGACGCCUGGCAUCUGAUUGCCAAGAUGGUCUCACUGGGGGACCCGCUAACAUUUGCAAUCCCGGUUUACACUUGGGUGAGUGAUUCAGAGAAAGCCAGUAACCGCAACUACCAGGGGAUAGAGCUGCAUCCCACUUGGGUCUGAUCCUCCUAGGCUUUGUACUCAUGGUCCUGGGCCGUUACAGACCUAGAGAGUGUCCGAGUUGGAAGAAGGGCUGAGCCCCAGCCCCCAGCACUUCAGGACACUUCACAGGAACAGACAUUUACCCGUAAAGGUUACCAAUCAGUGGCUUCCUCUGGCUGGAGCUGAAGUGCUGGUCACUGGAAGUGGCAACCCUGGGAGUCUCAUGCUGGUUGAAGUAGCCCUGGUGGGCAGUUAAAGAUGUGCCAAAUAAAGCAGAGAACAAGUUAGCCCCUGACCUUGCUCCUUCCAGAGCAAGGAGUCAGGCUGGUGAACUAGGGGAUGGGAGGGCUGUGUCCCCGGGAUGGGGUGCAAUGCUUAGGUCUGAGAGUGGAGCAGGAGGACGAGUUCCACCCCCCUCUCCCUUAUCUGCUCAGAAAGGGAGUGGUGAGGGUGGGGACCUUGAAUGUAGCUCCAGAGAGUUGGGGAGAACGAGGGAGGCAAACAGCAACCUGCACAUCUCAGCCCAUCCCUCGGGAAGUAGACCCCUGGUUACUCUGCCCUCCCAGAAGGAGCUGAGCUCAGGGACAUGCUCAGGCCCACACAGCAGCAGAGUUGAGUUGGCUAGAUCCAAAUCAGGACCUGAAACCAGUCCCCAG